AGGACAAGGGGACGGACACUAAGAAGGGGAUGUAUUGUCUGCGUGUGUUGCCUUCACACCUUUGAAUUCUAAAGGGAUGGCAGGGGCAGCUAACAGAGAGCAGAGAGGAGGCAUCCGGAAUCCCAUGUGGCACAUUUAUGUCAACUGCAUGUCAAUCAGAUGCAAGUGAAGACUAAGCAGUUCCAGCACGGGAACCUCUGAAAAUCAAGACCACAUCAUCCUGAUGUUUUGGCAUUUUGCCCAUUGCCUCAGCAUGUGCUUUUAAAGAGAGCUCUCUAUUGCCGUCUCAUGGUGAAUGAGUGAAUGGCUGGGAUUAGGAGACAAAACUGGCUACCACCACUAAGCAGUGGAGAGUUCUGUGGCCUCCCGAGUAAAAGCUAGCUACCGCUUUUCCUCUCACAAAGCAAGCAAGGAUGUAGUCAAGAAAACAAGGGCACUGCAGUUGUCCUGAAAAUAGGAGCCUGAGAUGCCUAGAGCAGGAGGAGAUGCUUGGGCAAUGUCUGAUCCUCUGCAGACUUCAGCCUUAUGGGGACUGGAAGAGAUGUGGGGAAGCCCCUCCCAAGAAUUUUCAAGGGACACACAGGGCCUGGACAAGCCUCACUUUACAACUUAAUCAACCAAAGUGAUAUGAGCAACAAUGCUUUGCCUGGUAGUUAUGUAAGAUGAAAGGAGUCUCAAAGUCGAAUGAAACUGUAUUAUUCAGAUGCUUUCAUUUACUCUAAAGACAUCCUACUAUAUAGGUUAUGCAUGAAUUUCUUCCAUUUUCAGGAGUAAGGCACAGUAACCAAAAGUCAUCAAUGUUUUAUAAACUGUGACUAAUCUCUAUGUAUAGUCUCAUAGUCUCUCUCUCUCUUUUCCUAACUGUUCAGAAUUUUUUGUAUUGGCUGAUAUUUGGCUGCUGCUCUUCAGUACUAUCAUUAUUAUUUUUAAGAUCACUUGAGACCCUGGCACGCCGUGGGGUUUAGGAUUGAUAGGGUUAUUAGGGAAGCCUGCUCUCCCAAACUUUUAGAUUGCUUUGAAAUAUUUUGCUGGAAAAUGGCAACAAAUAAAUCUGAAGCAAGCUCUGCCUUCCAGAAGCAGCAGCAUGGUGUGUUUCCAGGGUCCUGUUGGCUUUUACUGAGCUGCUGCCACCCAAAAAUAGUGGUGGGCUCAUAAAUGUUUAGCAAAUCAUGAUAAUGAACGUGGCCAGGACAAACAUAGCCAGUGUGUGUUUUUUUAAUCAUGCCUCAUUUAGUACAAAGAUGACUCUUGGAUGUUUUGGCAAAUUAAUUUGUAUUGCACUUCAGAGAAGGGAGAAAGCAGCUGGGCUCUAGCCCGCAGAGCUGCACUGGCUGUAUCUGCUAAUAAAGUUGCUGUUGCCACCGCCUCCUGUGGAAGCACAAAUGGAACGUAAGGCACAGGGAAUUCUCUGCCGCUUCCCUCCAGGGUUUUAGUUGAAUCCAUGUCAGUCCUUCUCUAGUGGUUCCAAGAAUUCCCACUGUGCUUCGUCAGCAACUCUAAUGCAGCAACCGAGCAACCAUUUCCAAAUGAAUCAUCCUCUACCAUUUAUGAAUCAGUCACAAUGCCACCUUCUUUGAAAUCUGAUUAAGUACUGCCGGAUAUUUGUACAAUUCAAAUGUGAGUCCUCCCUCCUCACUGAUGGAUAUUUUGUGUAAUCUGUCAUGAAAAGUCUUACGUGGCCUAGGUCUUUGCUAGGUACUGAUAUAAAGACAGUGGUCUGAGAGAAAUCCACAUAGGAAAACAUUUCCAAGUUUAGUUACUUGUCGAGGAAAACAUCAGAUGGCAAGUGGAAGGGGGAGAGGUAUUAGGGACAUAAACACAUUGGAAAUCUUCCCCAAAGUUUGUCAUUCUCUGCAGGAGUGGCUGCCCUUACCCCAAGCCUCUUCAUCACUGAAUCAUACCCCAACAGCUAGCACACAUGAGCCACCAGGUUUUCCUUUCUUUCUCUAAACUGCUUCCCCCUACCCCUUUUUUUUCCAUUGCCCUUCAGUCUUUUGAAAAAAAUAAAAAUAUGUAUAUUUAAAA
RNAcentral lists this long non-coding RNA (2025 nucleotides) under Sus scrofa (pig). Its description in RNAcentral is "lncRNA (ENSSSCG00060057989.1)". The record is from RNAcentral. Lineage: Eukaryota; Metazoa; Chordata; Mammalia; Artiodactyla; Suidae.